Molecule: ribosomal RNA, 248 nt
Filed under: uncultured bacterium
Lineage: Bacteria
Description: partial 16S ribosomal RNA
Rfam family: Bacterial small subunit ribosomal RNA
Source: RNAcentral
GAGUAGAGUGGCGGACGGGUGAGUAACGCGUGGGAAUCUGCCUAGUAGUGGGGGAUAACAAUCGGAAACGGUUGCUAAUACCGCAUACGCCCUACGGGGGAAAGCGGGGGAUCUUCGGACCUCGCGCUAAUAGAUGAGCCUGCGUUAGAUUAGCUUGUUGGUGGGGUAAAGGCCUACCAAGGCGACGAUCUAUAGCUGUUCUGAGAGGAAGAUCAGCCACACUGGGACUGAGACACGGCCCAGACUCC